This 662-nucleotide ribosomal RNA is filed under the name uncultured Eubacteriales bacterium. Its description in RNAcentral is "bacterial SSU rRNA". It matches the Rfam family "Bacterial small subunit ribosomal RNA", at positions 64 to 736 of the family's 1533-position model. The record is from RNAcentral. Lineage: Bacteria; Bacillati; Bacillota; Clostridia; Eubacteriales.
GAAACUUUACUGACUUCUUCGGAAAGAUUUAAAGCGGAUUAGUGGCGGACGGGUGAGUAACACGUGAGUAACCUGCCUUACACAAGGGGAUAGCCGUUGGAAACGACGAAUAAUACCCUAUGAAACUAUCACUUCGCAUGAAGCGAUAGUCAAAGUGUUAGCGGUGUAAGAUGGACUUGCGUCUGAUUAGCUAGUUGGUGAGAAAAAAGCCCACCAAGGCAACGAUCAGUAGCCGGCUUGAGAGAGUGUACGGCCACAUUGGGACUGGGACACGGCCCAGACUCCUACGGGAGGCAGCAGUGGGGAAUUUUGCACAAUGGGGGAAACCCUGAUGCAGCGACGCCGCGUGAUUUAGAAGGCCUUCGGGUUGUAAAAAUCUUUUGUAUAGGAAGAAAAUGACAGUACUAUACGAAUAAGGUCCGGCUAAUUACGUGCCAGCAGCCGCGGUAAUACGUAAGGACCGAGCGUUGUCCGGAAUCAUUGGGCGUAAAGGGUACGUAGGCGGGUCAUUAAGUUAGAAGUCAAAGGCUAUAGCUCAGCUAAAGUAAGCUUCUAAAACUGGAGACCUUGAGUAAUGGAAGGGAAAGUGGAAUUCCUAGUGUAGCGGUGGAAUGCGCAGAUAUUAGGAGGAAUACCGGUGGCGAAGGCGACUUUCUGGCCAU